Molecule: transfer RNA, 61 nt
Filed under: Ciona intestinalis (vase tunicate)
Lineage: Eukaryota; Metazoa; Chordata; Ascidiacea; Phlebobranchia; Cionidae
Also listed under: 1 other name
Description: tRNA (ENSCING00000025192.1)
Source: RNAcentral
GUGAGUUUAGGUUAAAAAAACUUAAAACCUUCAAAGUUUUAGAUGAUUCAUUCAAUUCAUA